GACAGAGGUUGCAAACGUUGUUCGGAAUCACUGGGCAUAAAGCGCACGUAGGCGGCUGGCUAAGUCAGGUGUGAAAUCCCCCGGCUCAACCGGGGAACUGCGCCUGAUACUGGCCGGCUUGAGGACGGUUGGGGUGAGUGGAACUCCAGGUGGAGCGGUGAAAUGCGUAGAUAUGCGGAGGAACACCGAUGGCGAAGGCAAUCCCCUGGGCCUGCACUGACGCUCAUGCACGAAAGCGUGGGGAGCAAACAGG
RNAcentral lists this ribosomal RNA (253 nucleotides) under uncultured prokaryote. RNAcentral describes it as "partial 16S ribosomal RNA". It matches the Rfam family "Bacterial small subunit ribosomal RNA", at positions 524 to 776 of the family's 1533-position model. The record is from RNAcentral.